RNAcentral lists this non-coding RNA (669 nucleotides) under Pongo abelii (Sumatran orangutan). The record is from RNAcentral. Lineage: Eukaryota; Metazoa; Chordata; Mammalia; Primates; Hominidae.
GGGAAGCAGACUGGACAGAAAGGAACUCUGAGCAGCUAAACUCUGACUAAUCCCAGGGUAUACCUGCAUUUUCUCUUCACCAGAUUUUUCCUACCAGGAAGAGCAUGUGCUGACCAACAGACAUGAAUUUCAGCCUGGUAGUUAUAACAUUCACAGGAGUCUCUUGCCCAGGCCAGAGUGCAGUGGCACAAUCUCGGCUCACUGCAAGCUCCGCCUCCCGGGUUCACGCCAUUCUCCUGCCUCAGCCUCCUGAGGAGCUGGGAUUACAGGCACCCGCCACCUCACCAGGCUGGUCUCGAACUCCUGACCUCAAGUGAUCUGGCUGCCUCAGCCUCCCAAAGCGCUGGGAUUACAGGCAUGAGCCACUGUGCCUGGUCCAUUAAAAACAUUUGUAAAGCUAUGGUGUUGAUAAAGUAUUAUGAAAAACUGCAAAAAAGAUGGCUAAUUUUUAGUUAUUAUUGCACAUGUUUAGAGGAGCUAGUGACAUUUUCUAUGAUUAAUAAAAGUCAUUAUUUAUGUUUUUAUUUAUGUAUUUCACAACAUUUAUUUUAUUUUCUCCAUUUCAGGAAAACCACUAUGUUGUUACAAUAAAGAUUUUCAUGUAAUUUGUGUUCAAUUGAUAGUAAUAAUGUAACAAGUUAAAAAUGAAGGUAAUUGUGUUUAAAAUUU